This 324-nucleotide long non-coding RNA is filed under the name Glycine max (soybean). RNAcentral describes it as "long non-coding RNA (GMAX_LNC004501)". Lineage: Eukaryota; Viridiplantae; Streptophyta; Magnoliopsida; Fabales; Fabaceae. The record is from RNAcentral.
GUCAAUGUAUUCUAAUUAAAUUCUUUUUGUAUUUACAUGCGAAUUCAUGAAAAACUAGAAAUGUCUUCUACAACCAAUAUAUGGACACCUGCUACAACAUAAAGACUCAAUUGAGACAUUUCAUUUCUCUAUAUUUCUCCGGGGAAGCACGUGACAAUGCCUGCGAAAUGACGGCGUAAUGAGAUUGGGAGAGUGAGAAGGGAAGAAAAGAAGAGGGUGAGGGUUUGGAUGGCGUCUAGGAGGGCCUCGGUGGGGUCCUCGAUGUUCUACUUCACCACUUCUUCCUCGUCUUUGCCGCAGGACCCAUUGUUGCUACGUUCCUUC